CCUAUAAGACUGGGAUAACUUCGGGAAACCGGAGCUAAUACCGGAUAACAUUUAGAACCGCAUGGUUCUAAAGUGAAAGGUGGUUUUGCUAUCACUUAUAGAUGGACCCGCGCCGUAUUAGCUAGUUGGUAAGGUAACGGCUUACCAAGGCGACGAUACGUAGCCGACCUGAGAGGGUGAUCGGCCACACUGGAACUGAGACACGGUCCUGACUCCUACGGGAGGCAGCAGUAGGGAAUCUUCCGCAAUGGGCGAAAGCCUGACGGAGCAACGCCGCGUGAGUGAUGAAGGGUCUCGGCUCGUAAAACUCUGUUAUUAGGGAAGAACAAAUGUGUAAGUAACUGUGCACAUCUUGACGGUACCUAAUCAGAAAGCCACGGCUAACUACGUGCCAGCAGCCGCGGUAAUACGUAGGUGGCAAGCGUUAUCCGGAAUUAUUGGGCGUAAAGCGCGCGUAGGCGGUUUCUUAAGUCUGAUGUGAAAGCCCACGGCUCAACCGUGGAGGGUCAUUGGAAACUGGGAAACUUAAGUGCAGAAGAGGAAAGUGGAAUUCCAUGUGUAGCGGUGAAAUGCGCAGAGAUAUGGAGGAACACCAGUGGCGAAGGCGACUUUCUGGUCUGUAACUGACGCUGAUGUGCGAAAGCGUGGGGAUCAAACAGGAUUAGAUACCCUGGUAGUCCACGCCGUAAACGAUGAGUGCUAAGUGUUAGGGGGUUUCCGCCCCUUAGUGCUGCAGCUAACGCAUUAAGCACUCCGCCUGGGGAGUACGACCGCAAGGUUGAAACUCAAA
This 790-nucleotide ribosomal RNA is filed under the name uncultured Staphylococcus sp. RNAcentral's name for it is "bacterial SSU rRNA". It matches the Rfam family "Bacterial small subunit ribosomal RNA", at positions 129 to 905 of the family's 1533-position model. Lineage: Bacteria; Bacillati; Bacillota; Bacilli; Caryophanales; Staphylococcaceae. The record is from RNAcentral.